GUUGUUACGAUCUGCUGAGGGUAAGCCGUCCUUCGCCUCGAUUUCCCCAAUGGGUUCUCCGGAUUUCUGGAGACUUGUAGGGGUUGUGGGAUUUUUGAUGUGUCGUCUCCGGACGGGCGGUGCAGGGUAGUCGAGUUAGACUUGGUGGAAUUCCGUCGAUAGGAGUUCCGUCGAGUCUGGUCGGCUGUGUGUUGGACGGUGCAGGGUAGGCUGCUUGGACAUGGUCGGGUCGAGGGUCGAUUCGAGGGCCGGCCUGUCGAUGAUGUGUGAUGUAUGCGGUCUAGGGUAGGCUGGUUUGUCUUGGUCCAAUUUGAUGUCGGCUCCCGUGCAGGCCAGAGUGAGGGGGGUCCAGGGUAGGUACAGGGUAGGCAGCUUAGAUUUGGCCGAUCUGGAGGUCGAUUCUCCGGCCGGCGGAUCUGACACUGUCAAAACGAGGUGCGAGCGGUGUAGGGUAGGCUAGUUUCGUCCUCGCCAGGUUGCGAUUUGGACGAGAUAUGUGGUCUAGGGUAGGCUCUAGGGUAAGUAGAAUUCGAGUUUCGUCGCCGACAGUUUUCUGUGGGUGUGUGGUAGGUACAGGGUAGGCAAAUCUCCCUCCGGCCAGUACUUGUCUGGUUGGUCGUGAGUCGAUUUUUUUGUUUUGCCAUACUAUUGAAUUUUGCGGAAAUUCAAAAGUGGCUCGGGAGUCCCGCCUGGCGUGCGUCCGGCUCGAACAUCGUCGGUGUACAUAUGAGAGGGAGUAAUCCGGCCCGGCCGGGGCCCAUGGCGAGCUGCCGGGUAGGUAAAAGUAAAAAAGUUGUUAAGAGGCGCGGUGUCGGCGUGCUUGUAUUUGCGGGAGAGAAUUAUCUGGAGGUGCUGGGUAGCCGGGAAGACUUGGACGGAUCUGGCCCGGGAAUGGGUCUGGGCCUGGAUUCUGGUGUGGUGUAGGGUAGGCGUAGAUAGAUGAGUGGUCUAGGGUAGAUACAGGGUAGCCAGAAGUCUGGUAUAUAGUAUGGGGGUGUAGGGUAGGUCUGGACACCGGUUUCCACUUCGCCCUUCCCUUUACUCGAGGGAGGACGAUCUUGGCUGGGACGGAGGUGUAGGGUAGGCUUAAUUUACGAUUACAUGAUCUGUGUCACUCUAGGGUAGGUGAAAAUCCCAUAUACAUAUGAUCACAUUUGGUGAAGAGGUGGUUUGGCUGGUGAGAUGGACAAAAGUGCAAUAUAGAAUUAUAUGUGAUUUUGCAAAAGUGGGUGUGAAAUUGGGAAAUCGGUUUUCCCGCACAGAUGAGAGCACGUUUGAGGUGCCAUGAGAUGCACCUCUCCGAGACGACCUCAACGGUACCGCCGAUGUGUUGGUCGGGCUCCUGUGCGGCCGUCCAGGGCGGGAUAAGUAGAGAAUGUGGUGGUGUAGGGUAGGUGACCAGGUCCAGGGUAGGUUCGCCAAAUCCGUCAAUCCGGCUUGAAUCGAAGGACAGGUCUAGGGUAGGCCAGAGUCGGGUCUAGGGUAGGCAACCCUCACCCUCGAAGUGGUCUACCCGGUAGCCAACUUCAAUCGCCUCUCACGGCCGCCACGGACCUCGAAUGACGACGGGACUACCACCAUCGGAUUCGCCUUGGUCGAAAUAGCUGGUAUAUGCACUUUUGAAAAAAUGCGUGCAAAAUGGUUUUGUGGUUUGGUGGCCGUGAGUCGAUUUUUUUGUUUUCACAUACAAAUGAAUUUUGCGGAAAAUAAAAAGUGGCCCACGAGGCAGUCCUGGCGUGCGGCCCACUAAAACGGUCUCGGAGGGUAUAUGAGAAGGGAGCAAAUCCGGCCGAGCCUGAAAGGGUGAGGACAAACCGGGCGAGCAACCUCUCAGUAUCAGAUCUUGCAGACUUCCACUGCGUGUCCCUCUGUACAGCUUUGCAGGCUCCGGCCUCGGCAGCGGGGGGUUCAUAGUGGUCGUCGACCUCCACGAAACUGCACGCUCCGGCGUGACAGCGUACUGGGGAUGCCUGUGUAGAUGCAGUCCGGGCUUGCCUGGACCG
Molecule: unclassified non-coding RNA, 2003 nt
Filed under: Fusarium oxysporum f. sp. mori
Lineage: Eukaryota; Fungi; Ascomycota; Sordariomycetes; Hypocreales; Nectriaceae
Description: contains 28S ribosomal RNA and 28S-18S ribosomal RNA intergenic spacer
Source: RNAcentral